RNAcentral lists this ribosomal RNA (2657 nucleotides) under Staphylococcus aureus M1401. RNAcentral describes it as "bacterial LSU rRNA". It matches the Rfam family "Bacterial large subunit ribosomal RNA". The record is from RNAcentral. Lineage: Bacteria; Bacillati; Bacillota; Bacilli; Caryophanales; Staphylococcaceae.
UUAAGUUAUUAAGGGCGCACGGUGGAUGCCUUGGCACUAGAAGCCGAUGAAGGACGUUACUAACGACGAUAUGCUUUGGGGAGCUGUAAGUAAGCUUUGAUCCAGAGAUUUCCGAAUGGGGAAACCCAGCAUGAGUUAUGUCAUGUUAUCGAUAUGUGAAUACAUAGCAUAUCAGAAGGCACACCCGGAGAACUGAAACAUCUUAGUACCCGGAGGAAGAGAAAGAAAAUUCGAUUCCCUUAGUAGCGGCGAGCGAAACGGGAAGAGCCCAAACCAACAAGCUUGCUUGUUGGGGUUGUAGGACACUCUAUACGGAGUUACAAAGGACGACAUUAGACGAAUCAUCUGGAAAGAUGAAUCAAAGAAGGUAAUAAUCCUGUAGUCGAAAAUGUUGUCUCUCUUGAGUGGAUCCUGAGUACGACGGAGCACGUGAAAUUCCGUCGGAAUCUGGGAGGACCAUCUCCUAAGGCUAAAUACUCUCUAGUGACCGAUAGUGAACCAGUACCGUGAGGGAAAGGUGAAAAGCACCCCGGAAGGGGAGUGAAAUAGAACCUGAAACCGUGUGCUUACAAGUAGUCAGAGCCCGUUAAUGGGUGAUGGCGUGCCUUUUGUAGAAUGAACCGGCGAGUUACGAUUUGAUGCAAGGUUAAGCAGUAAAUGUGGAGCCGUAGCGAAAGCGAGUCUGAAUAGGGCGUUUAGUAUUUGGUCGUAGACCCGAAACCAGGUGAUCUACCCUUGGUCAGGUUGAAGUUCAGGUAACACUGAAUGGAGGACCGAACCGACUUACGUUGAAAAGUGAGCGGAUGAACUGAGGGUAGCGGAGAAAUUCCAAUCGAACCUGGAGAUAGCUGGUUCUCUCCGAAAUAGCUUUAGGGCUAGCCUCAAGUGAUGAUUAUUGGAGGUAGAGCACUGUUUGGACGAGGGGCCCCUCUCGGGUUACCGAAUUCAGACAAACUCCGAAUGCCAAUUAAUUUAACUUGGGAGUCAGAACAUGGGUGAUAAGGUCCGUGUUCGAAAGGGAAACAGCCCAGACCACCAGCUAAGGUCCCAAAAUAUAUGUUAAGUGGAAAAGGAUGUGGCGUUGCCCAGACAACUAGGAUGUUGGCUUAGAAGCAGCCAUCAUUUAAAGAGUGCGUAAUAGCUCACUAGUCGAGUGACACUGCGCCGAAAAUGUACCGGGGCUAAACAUAUUACCGAAGCUGUGGAUUGUCCUUUGGACAAUGGUAGGAGAGCGUUCUAAGGGCGUUGAAGCAUGAUCGUAAGGACAUGUGGAGCGCUUAGAAGUGAGAAUGCCGGUGUGAGUAGCGAAAGACGGGUGAGAAUCCCGUCCACCGAUUGACUAAGGUUUCCAGAGGAAGGCUCGUCCGCUCUGGGUUAGUCGGGUCCUAAGCUGAGGCCGACAGGCGUAGGCGAUGGAUAACAGGUUGAUAUUCCUGUACCACCUAUAAUCGUUUUAAUCGAUGGGGGGACGCAGUAGGAUAGGCGAAGCGUGCGAUUGGAUUGCACGUCUAAGCAGUAAGGCUGAGUAUUAGGCAAAUCCGGUACUCGUUAAGGCUGAGCUGUGAUGGGGAGAAGACAUUGUGUCUUCGAGUCGUUGAUUUCACACUGCCGAGAAAAGCCUCUAGAUAGAAAAUAGGUGCCCGUACCGCAAACCGACACAGGUAGUCAAGAUGAGAAUUCUAAGGUGAGCGAGCGAACUCUCGUUAAGGAACUCGGCAAAAUGACCCCGUAACUUCGGGAGAAGGGGUGCUCUUUAGGGUUAACGCCCAGAAGAGCCGCAGUGAAUAGGCCCAAGCGACUGUUUAUCAAAAACACAGGUCUCUGCUAAACCGUAAGGUGAUGUAUAGGGGCUGACGCCUGCCCGGUGCUGGAAGGUUAAGAGGAGUGGUUAGCUUCUGCGAAGCUACGAAUCGAAGCCCCAGUAAACGGCGGCCGUAACUAUAACGGUCCUAAGGUAGCGAAAUUCCUUGUCGGGUAAGUUCCGACCCGCACGAAAGGCGUAACGAUUUGGGCACUGUCUCAACGAGAGACUCGGUGAAAUCAUAGUACCUGUGAAGAUGCAGGUUACCCGCGACAGGACGGAAAGACCCCGUGGAGCUUUACUGUAGCCUGAUAUUGAAAUUCGGCACAGCUUGUACAGGAUAGGUAGGAGCCUUUGAAACGUGAGCGCUAGCUUACGUGGAGGCGCUGGUGGGAUACUACCCUAGCUGUGUUGGCUUUCUAACCCGCACCACUUAUCGUGGUGGGAGACAGUGUCAGGCGGGCAGUUUGACUGGGGCGGUCGCCUCCUAAAAGGUAACGGAGGCGCUCAAAGGUUCCCUCAGAAUGGUUGGAAAUCAUUCAUAGAGUGUAAAGGCAUAAGGGAGCUUGACUGCGAGACCUACAAGUCGAGCAGGGUCGAAAGACGGACUUAGUGAUCCGGUGGUUCCGCAUGGAAGGGCCAUCGCUCAACGGAUAAAAGCUACCCCGGGGAUAACAGGCUUAUCUCCCCCAAGAGUUCACAUCGACGGGGAGGUUUGGCACCUCGAUGUCGGCUCAUCGCAUCCUGGGGCUGUAGUCGGUCCCAAGGGUUGGGCUGUUCGCCCAUUAAAGCGGUACGCGAGCUGGGUUCAGAACGUCGUGAGACAGUUCGGUCCCUAUCCGUCGUGGGCGUAGGA